RNAcentral lists this ribosomal RNA (381 nucleotides) under Cuapetes grandis. RNAcentral's name for it is "partial 12S ribosomal RNA". The record is from RNAcentral. Lineage: Eukaryota; Metazoa; Arthropoda; Malacostraca; Decapoda; Palaemonidae.
CCCAGUUAUACUAAUCUUAGAAUGAAUAAUACUUGGGUAGUAAACAGUUAUGAGCUUGAAAUCCAAAGAAUUUGGCGGUAUUUUAUUCUUUUUAGAGGAACCUGUCUUGUAAAUGAUAAACCACGUAAUAUCUUACUUUAUCUUGUAAUCAGUUUGUAUACCGCCAUCGUUGGGAUUUGCUUAAAAGCAAUUUCCUAAAUAAACUUCUGUACUUAGGGUAUUAGGUCAAGGUGCAGCUUAUGUUAAAGUUAUGAUGGGUUACAAUAUAUUUUAUAUAAUAGCGGAAGGAAGAUGUGAAACUCUCUCUGGAAGACGGAUUUAAUAGUAUCUUAAUUUUAAUAAGUUUGAGCGAAGAAGAUCUAAAAUAUGUACACAUCGCCC